AGAAUCAUUUGCAUCUUGGAGGCAGAGUUUGCAGUGAGCUGACAUCGCACCACUGCGCUCCAGCCGGGAUGACAGAACAAGACCCUGUCUCAAAAAAAAGAAAAAGGAACAAACAACAGCAACGACAACAAAAAAACCUCUGUGUCAAUCACAGCCUUCAAGCUAGGGGAGAGGCGGCCGAAUUCUGCCCUCUGCUAACUAACUAUAGCUUUGUGGAAAUGGGUGAAUGGCGUGCCCUUGUGAGCCUCAGGGCCCCAUCUGUAAAAUGGGCAUAACUGUCAUGCCCGUCUUUAAGAACAGCCUUGGGGGUAAAUGAGUGGAAGUCAUGGAAAGAUCUCAGCCCACAACCUUCCACAGAACAGACGCUUCUCACACAAUACGGGGUCUCACUGUGUUGCCCAGGGUGGUUUCAAAAUCCUGGGCCCAGGCGAUCCUUCCGUCUCAGCUCCCACGGUGCUGUGUUACCGGCGUGUGCCCCAGUGCCUGGCCGUCUUGGAGGUCUUGUUUCUCUGGGUUUAUGCCUCAAGGUGGCGCCUGCUCCCCUGUGCUCCCUGGUAGCCUGGUAGUGAGCCUGCUUCUCACACAGUCAUACCUGGUUGUGGUCCCACAGUGGGACCACCCUGUUGGGUUCAGAACAGGAGAUGGGGGCCCCUCGAGUCUGUGUGGGGGCUGUGGACAGGGUUGGGAGACCUUGGCUCUGUGGGGGACUGUGGACAGGGGAUGGGGGGCCUUGGCCCUGCGUGGGAUGGGUUGGGGGUCCGUGCCCUUCCUGGCCCUGGGUGGACAGGUCCAGGUGGCACUCGGCAUAGGGCUGAGAUGGGUGCAGAGGGCUGAGGCCCCCAGGCCUCUCCUGGCUUGG
This 859-nucleotide long non-coding RNA is filed under the name Homo sapiens (human). RNAcentral describes it as "HSALNT0384745". The record is from RNAcentral. Lineage: Eukaryota; Metazoa; Chordata; Mammalia; Primates; Hominidae.